Molecule: ribosomal RNA, 720 nt
Filed under: uncultured Peptococcaceae bacterium
Lineage: Bacteria; Bacillati; Bacillota; Clostridia; Eubacteriales; Peptococcaceae
Description: bacterial SSU rRNA
Rfam family: Bacterial small subunit ribosomal RNA
Source: RNAcentral
CGUGCUUAACACAUGCAAGUCGAACGAGACGAUUGAAAGCUUGCUUUUGAAAGUCGAGUGGCAAACGGGUGAGUAACGCGUAGACAACCUGCCGUAAAGAUGGGGACAACAGUCCGAAAGGAUUGCUAAUACCGAAUGUUGUGGAACUUCCGCAUGGGAGCUCUACUAAAGAUGGCCUCUACUUGUAAGCUAUCGCUUUACGAUGGGUCUGCGUCUGAUUAGCUAGUUGGUGGGGUAACGGCCUACCAAGGCGACGAUCAGUAGCCGGUCUGAGAGGAUGAACGGCCACAUUGGAACUGAGACACGGUCCAGACUCCUACGGGAGGCAGCAGUGGGGAAUCUUCCGCAAUGGGCGCAAGCCUGACGGAGCAACGCCGCGUGAGUGAAGAAGGGUUUCGACUCGUAAAGCUCUGUUGUCGGGGACGAAUGUGGAGGUUGUGAAUAACAGCUUCCAAUGACGGUACCUGACGAGGAAGCCACGGCUAACUACGUGCCAGCAGCCGCGGUAAUACGUAGGUGGCGAGCGUUGUCCGGAAUUAUUGGGCGUAAAGGGAGCGCAGGCGGGAGGUCAAGUCUAUCUUAAAAGUGCGGGGCUCAACCCCGUGAGGGGAUGGAAACUGGUCUUCUUGAGUGCAGGAGAGGAAAGCGGAAUUCCUAGUGUAGCGGUGAAAUGCGUAGAUAUUAGGAGGAACACCAGUGGCGAAGGCGGCUUUCUGGACU